AGUGAACGCUGGCGGUAGGCCUAACACAUGCAAGUCGAACGGCAGCACAGUAAGAGCUUGCUCUUACGGGUGGCGAGUGGCGGACGGGUGAGGAAUACAUCGGAAUCUACUUUUUCGUGGGGGAUACGUAGGGAAACUUACGCUAAUACCGCAUACGACCUACGGGUGAAAGCAGGGGAUCUUCGGACCUUGCGCGAUUGAAUGAGCCGAUGUCGGAUUAGCUAGUUGGCGGGGUAAAGGCCCACCAAGGCGACGAUCCGCAGCUGGUCUGAGAGGAUGAUCAGCCACACUGGAACUGAGACACGGUCCAGACUCCUACGGGAGGCAGCAGUGGGGAAUAUUGGACAAUGGGCGCAAGCCUGAUCCAGCCAUACCGCGUGGGUGAAGAAGGCCUUCGGGUUGUAAAGCCCUUUUGUUGGGAAAGAAAAGCAGCAGGUUAAUACCCCGCUGUUCUGACGGUACCCAAAGAAUAAGCACCGGCUAACUUCGUG
This 491-nucleotide ribosomal RNA is filed under the name uncultured bacterium. RNAcentral's name for it is "partial 16S ribosomal RNA". It matches the Rfam family "Bacterial small subunit ribosomal RNA", at positions 29 to 507 of the family's 1533-position model. The record is from RNAcentral.